GUGAAGAACGCAGUGAAAUGCGAUAAGUAAUGUGAAUUGCAGAAUUCAGUGAAUCAUCGAAUCUUUGAACGCACAUUGCGCCCGCCAGUAUUCUGGCGGGCAUGCCUGUUCGAGCGUCAUUUCAACCAUCAAGCCCCCGGGCUUGUGUUGGGGACCUGCGGCUGCCGCAGGCCCUGAAAAGCAGUGGCGGGCUCGCUGUCACACCGAGCGUAGUAGAUUUUAUCUCGCUCUGGGCGUGCUGCGGGUUCCGGCCGUUAAACCACCCUUUUAACCCAAGGUUGACCUCGGAUCAGGUAGGAAGACCCGCUGAACUUAAGCAUAUCAAUAAGCGGAGGA
RNAcentral lists this unclassified non-coding RNA (336 nucleotides) under soil metagenome. RNAcentral describes it as "partial contains 5.8S ribosomal RNA, internal transcribed spacer 2, and large subunit ribosomal RNA". The stretch from base 2 to 119 matches the Rfam family "5.8S ribosomal RNA", at positions 37 to 154 of the family's 154-position model. The record is from RNAcentral.